GGGGCACAAACCAGGGGGUGGCGACUGUUUACUAAAAACACAGGGCUCUGCGAAGCCGUAAGGCGACGUAUAGGGUCUGACGCCUGCCCGGUGCCGGAAGGUUAAAAGGAGAUGUGCAAGCAUUGAAUUGAAGCCCCGGUAAACGGCGGCCGUAACUAUAACGGUCCUAAGGUAGCGAAAUUCCUUGUCGGGUAAGUUCCGACCUGCACGAAUGGCGUAACGACUUCCCCGCUGUCUCAAAUGUGGACUCAGCGAAAUUGAAUUGUCUGUGAAGAUGCAGACUUCCCGCGGUUAGACGGAAAGACCCCAUGCACCUUUACUAUAGCUUCGCACUGGCAUCAGGAUUGUGAUGUGCAGGAUAGGUGGUAGGCAUUGAAACCGGGACGCCAGUUCCGGUGGAGCCAUCCUUGAGAUACCACCCUUCGCACUCUUGAUGUCUAACCGCGGCCCGUUAUCCGGGUCCGGGACCCUGCAUGGUGGGGAGUUUGACUGGGGCGGUCGCCUCCCAAAGAGUAACGGAGGCGCGCGAUGGUUGGCUCAGACCGGUCGGAAAUCGGUCGUUGAGUGCAAUGGCAGAAGCCAGCCUGACUGCAAGACUGACAAGUCGAGCAGAGACGAAAGUCGGCCAUAGUGAUCCGGUGGUCCCGAGUGGAAGGGCCAUCGCUCAACGGAUAAAAGGUACGCUGGGGAUAACAGGCUGAUGAUGCCCAAGAGUCCAUAUCGACGGCAUCGUUUGGCACCUCGAUGUCGGCUCAUCUCAUCCUGGGGCUGGAGCAGGUCCCAAGGGUAUGGCUGUUCGCCAUUUAAAGAGGUACGUGAGCUGGGUUUAGAACGUCGUGAGACAGUUCGGUCCCUAUCUGCCGUGGGUGUAGGAGACUUGAGAAGAGUUGCCCCUAGUACGAGAGGACCGGGGUGAACGAACCACUGGUGGACCAGUUAUCGUGCCAACGGUAGUGCUGGGUAGCUAUGUUCGGACAGGAUAACCGCUGAAGGCAUCUAAGCGGGAAGCCCCCUUCAAAACAAGGUCUCCCUUGAGGGCCGUGGAAGACGACCACGUCGAUAGGCCAGAGGUGUAAGUGCAGCAAUGCAUUCAGCUGACUGGUACUAAUUGCUCGAUAGGCUUGAUUUG
This 1129-nucleotide ribosomal RNA is filed under the name metagenome. Its description in RNAcentral is "bacterial LSU rRNA". It matches the Rfam family "Bacterial large subunit ribosomal RNA", at positions 1776 to 2925 of the family's 2925-position model. The record is from RNAcentral.